Molecule: ribosomal RNA, 3067 nt
Filed under: Nocardioides sp. Root151
Lineage: Bacteria; Bacillati; Actinomycetota; Actinomycetes; Propionibacteriales; Nocardioidaceae
Description: bacterial LSU rRNA
Rfam family: Bacterial large subunit ribosomal RNA
Source: RNAcentral
ACAGUGGACGCGAGCAUCUUUGUAGCAAGACAAGCUACUAAGGGCACAUGGUGGAUGCCUUGGCACCAAGAGCCGAUGAAGGACGUAGGAACCUGCGAUAAGCCCCGGGAAGUUGGUAACCAAGCUGUGAUCCGGGGAUUUCCGAAUGGGGAAACCCAGCUGGAGUCAUGUCCAGUUACCUCUGUCUGAACACAUAGGACAGUUGGAGGGAACACCGGGAAGUGAAACAUCUCAGUACCGGUAGGAAGAGAAAACAAAAGUGAUUCCGAGAGUAGUGGCGAGCGAAAUCGGAAGAGGCCAAACUCGUGCAGUGUGAUAGCCGGCAGGCGUUGCUGUUCGAGGGUUGUGGGGCCGUCACGUCGGAUCUGCCGAUCCGACACAGAGUUAGAAACCAUCGUUGAAGUCGAAAUGGAUUGGAAAGUCCUGGCGUAGAGGGUGAUACCCCCGUACACGUAAGACGAUGGCUCUGAGACGUCACCCCAAGUAACACGGAACCCCUGAAAUUCCGUGUGAAUCUGGCGGGACCACCCGUUAAGCCUAAAUACUCCUUGGUGACCGAUAGCGGACAAGUACCGUGAGGGAAAGGUGAAAAGUACCCCUGGCGGGGAGUGAAAUAGUACCUGAAACCAUGUGCCUACAAACCGUUGGAGCGGGGAUUCGUCCCUGUGACAGCGUGCCUUUUGAAGAAUGAGCCUGCGAGUUUGCGUUGUGUUGCGAGGUUAACCCGUGUGGGGAAGCCGUAGCGAAAGCGAGUCCGAAUAGGGCGUUUGAGUAGCACGAUCAAGACCCGAAGCGAAGUGAUCUAUCCAUGGGCAGGUUGAAGCGCGGGUAAGACCGCGUGGAGGACCGAACCCACUUAGGUUGAAAACUGAGGGGAUGACCUGUGGAUAGGGGUGAAAGGCCAAUCAAACUUCGUGAUAGCUGGUUCUCCCCGAAAUGCAUUUAGGUGCAGCGUCGCGUGUUUCUUGCUGGAGGUAGAGCACUGGAUAGCCGAUGGGCCCUACAAGGUUACUGACGUUAACCAAACUCCGAAUGCCAGUAAGUGAGAGCGCGGCAGUGAGACUGCGGGGGAUAAGCUCCGUAGUCGAGAGGGAAACAGCCCAGACCAUCAGCUAAGGUCCCUAAGCGAUAACUAAGUGGAAAAGGAUGUGGAGUCGCACAGACAACCAGGAGGUUGGCUUGGAAGCAGCCACCCUUGAAAGAGUGCGUAAUAGCUCACUGGUCAAGUGAUUCCGCGCCGACAAUGUAGCGGGGCUCAAGUUAUCCACCGAAGCUAUGGCAUUCAUGCGUAAGACAGGCCUUUGUGGUCCAGUUGCAUGGAUGGGUAGGGGAGCGUCGUGUGGGCAGUGAAGCGGCGGAGUGAUCCAGCCGUGGAGGCCACACGAGUGAGAAUGCAGGCAUGAGUAGCGAAUGACUGGCGAGAAACCAGUCCGCCGAAUGAUCAAGGGUUCCAGGGUCAAGCUAAUCUGCCCUGGGUAAGUCGGGACCUAAGGCGAGGCCGACAGGCGUAGUCGAUGGACAACGGGUUGAUAUUCCCGUACCGGCAAAAUAGCGCCCAUGACGAACCUAGUGAUGCUAAGUGCCCAAAACCACCGGGAUCCUUCGGGACGAUGGUGGCAGAGCGCACGACCCGAACUAGUAGUAGUCAAGCGAUGGGGUGACGCAGGAAGGUAGUCCAACCGUGGCGAUGGUUGCCCACGGCUAAGGGUGUAGGGCGAACGGUAGGCAAAUCCGCCGUUCAUGUGCCUGAGACCUGAUGGGGAGUCCGUAUGGACGAAGUGGAUGAUCCUAUGCUGUCGAGAAAAACCUCUAGCGAGCUAUGCGCCGCCCGUACCCCAAACCGACUCAGGUGAUCAGGUAGAGAAUNAGGGGGGCCGGAUUCGUGAUGGGACUUGCUCCCGGAAGCGAUGAAGGCCGCAGAGACCAGGCCCAAGCGACUGUUUACUAAAAACACAGGUCCGUGCGAAGUCGUAAGACGAUGUAUACGGACUGACUCCUGCCCGGUGCUGGAAGGUUAAGGGGACCUGUUAGAACUUCGGUUCGAAGCGGAGAACUUAAGCCCCAGUAAACGGCGGUGGUAACUAUAACCAUCCUAAGGUAGCGAAAUUCCUUGUCGGGUAAGUUCCGACCUGCACGAAUGGAGUAACGACUUGGGCGCUGUCUCAACCGUGGACUCGGCGAAAUUGCAGUACGAGUAAAGAUGCUCGUUACGCGCGGCAGGACGGAAAGACCCCGGGACCUUUACUAUAGUUUGGUAUUGGUGUUUGGUUCGGCUUGUGUAGGAUAGGUGGGAGACUGUGAAACGGCGACGCCAGUUGUCGUGGAGUCAACGUUGAAAUACCACUCUGGUCGUACUAGAUAUCUAACCUAGGUCCAUUAUCUGGAUCAGGGACAGUGCCUGAUGGGUAGUUUAACUGGGGCGGUUGCCUCCUAAAAUGUAACGGAGGCGCUCAAAGGUUCCCUCAGCCUGGUUGGCAAUCAGGUUUCGAGUGUAAGUGCACAAGGGAGCUUGACUGUGAGAGUGACAACUCGAGCAGGGACGAAAGUCGGAACUAGUGAUCCGGCGCUGGCAUGUGGAAGCGGCGUCGCUCAACGGAUAAAAGGUACCCCGGGGAUAACAGGCUGAUCUUCCCCAAGAGUCCAUAUCGACGGGAUGGUUUGGCACCUCGAUGUCGGCUCGUCGCAUCCUGGGGCUGGAGUAGGUCCCAAGGGUUGGGCUGUUCGCCCAUUAAAGCGGCACGCGAGCUGGGUUUAGAACGUCGUGAGACAGUUCGGUCCCUAUCCGCCGCGCGCGCAGGAAACUUGAGAAAGGCUGUCCCUAGUACGAGAGGACCGGGAUGGACGAACCUCUGGUGUGCCAGUUGUUCCGCCAGGAGCACGGCUGGUUAGCUACGUUCGGAAGUGAUAACCGCUGAAUGCAUCUAAGCGGGAAGCACGUUUCAAGAUGAGGUUUCCCACCGGGUUAACCGGGUAAGGUCCCCAGUAGACUACUGGGUUGAUAGGCCGGAGGUGUACAGCAGCAAUGCCUAGCCGACCGGUACUAAUAGACCGAGGGCUUGUCCCUCAA